Molecule: ribosomal RNA, 478 nt
Filed under: uncultured bacterium
Lineage: Bacteria
Description: SSU rRNA
Rfam family: Bacterial small subunit ribosomal RNA
Source: RNAcentral
AGAAUGAACGCUGGCGGCGUGCUUAACACAUGCAAGUCGAACGGAAUCCAAGGAGCUUGCUCUGGAAGAUUUAGUGGCGAACGGGUGAGUAUCACGUGAGCAACCUGCCCCGAAGACUGGGAUAACACCGGGAAACCGGUGCUAAUACCGGAUACCUUCCAAUGACCGCAUGGUCGAUGGAAGAAAUGUUUUUCGCUUCGGGAGGGGCUCGCGGUCCAUCAGCUUGUUGGCGGGGUAACGGCCCACCAAGGCUUCGACGGAUAGCUGGUCUGAGAGGACGAUCAGCCACACUGGAACUGAGACACGGUCCAGACUCCUACGGGAGGCAGCAGUGGGGAAUCUUGCGCAAUGGACGAAAGCCUGAUGGAGCAACGCCGCGUGCAGGAUGAAUGCCUUCGGGUUGUAAACUGCUUUUAUGUACGACGAUUAUGACGGUAGUACAUGAAUAAGGAUCGGCUAACUCCGUGCCAGCAGCCGC